This 457-nucleotide ribosomal RNA is filed under the name uncultured bacterium. RNAcentral's name for it is "bacterial SSU rRNA". It matches the Rfam family "Bacterial small subunit ribosomal RNA", at positions 69 to 518 of the family's 1533-position model. The record is from RNAcentral.
ACAGGAAGCAGCUUGCUGCUUCGCUGACGAGUGGCGCACGGGUGAGUAAUGUCUGGGAAACUGCCUGAUGGAGGGGGAUUUCUACUGGAAACGGUAGCUAAUACCGCAUAACGUCGCAAGACCAAAGAGGGGGACCUUCGGGCCUCUUGCCAUCGGAUGUGCCCAGAUGGGAUUAGCUAGUAGGUGGGGUAACGGCUCACCUAGGCGACGAUCCCUAGCUGGUCUGAGAGGAUGACCAGCCACACUGGAACUGAGACACGGUCCAGACUCCUACGGGAGGCAGCAGUGGGGAAUAUUGCACAAUGGGCGCAAGCCUGGUGCAGCCAUGCCGCGUGUAUGAAGAAGGCCUUCGGGUUGUAAAGUACUUUCAGCGGGGAGGAAGGCGAUAAGGUUAAUAACCUUGUCGAUUGACGUUACCCGCAGAAGAAGCACCGGCUAACUCCGUGCCAGCAGCCGC